This 253-nucleotide ribosomal RNA is filed under the name uncultured bacterium. Its description in RNAcentral is "partial 16S ribosomal RNA". It matches the Rfam family "Bacterial small subunit ribosomal RNA", at positions 524 to 776 of the family's 1533-position model. The record is from RNAcentral.
UACAGAGGGUGCGAGCGUUAAUCGGAAUUACUGGGCGUAAAGCGCACGUAGGUGGCUUAGUAAGUCGGAUGUGAAAUCCCCAGGCUUAACCUGGGAACUGCAUUCGAAACUGCUUUGCUAGAGUAUGGGAGAGGGCAGUGGAAUUUCAGGUGUAGCGGUGAAAUGCGUAGAUAUCUGAAGGAACACCAGUGGCGAAGGCGACCACCUGGACUGAUACUGACACUGAGGUGCGAAAGCGUGGGGAGCAAACAGG